AACGAACGCUGGCGGCAUGCCUAACACAUGCAAGUCGAACGAGAACUUCGGGUCUAGUGGCGCCCGGGUGCGUAACGCGUGGGAACCUGCACUUAGGUUCGGCAUAACUCUCCGAAAGGGGUGAUAAUACCGGACAAUGUCUUAGGACCAAAUAUUUAUCGCCUUUGGAUGGGCCCGCGUUGGAUUAGAUUGUUGGUAGGGUAAAAGACUACCAAGGCGACGAUCCAUAGCUGGUUUGAGAGGAUGAUCAGCCACACUGAGACUGAGACACGGCCCAGACUCCUACGGGAGGCAGCAGUGGGGAAUAUUGGACAGUGGGCGAAAGCCUGAUCCAGCAAGGCCGCGUGAGUGAUGAAGGCCUUAGGGUUGUAAAGCUCUUUUACCCGGGAUGAUAAUGACAGUACCGAGAGAAUAAGCUCCGGCUAACUCCGUG
This 433-nucleotide ribosomal RNA is filed under the name uncultured bacterium. RNAcentral describes it as "partial 16S ribosomal RNA". It matches the Rfam family "Bacterial small subunit ribosomal RNA", at positions 29 to 507 of the family's 1533-position model. The record is from RNAcentral.